This 1079-nucleotide ribosomal RNA is filed under the name uncultured bacterium. RNAcentral describes it as "bacterial SSU rRNA". It matches the Rfam family "Bacterial small subunit ribosomal RNA", at positions 9 to 1106 of the family's 1533-position model. The record is from RNAcentral.
GAGUUUGAUCCUGGCUCAGGACGAACGCUGGCGGCGUGCUUAACACAUGCAAGUCGAGCGAUGAGAUCCCUUCGGGGAUGGAUUAGCGGCGAACGGGUGAGGAACACGUGAAGAAUCUGCCUUCAACUCUGGGAUAACACCGGGAAACCGGUGCUAAUACCGGAUAUGAGCCUUGAUCGCAUGAUCGGGGCUGGAAAGUUUUUCGGUUGAAGAUGACUUCGCGGCCUAUCAGCUUGUUGGUGAGGUAAUAGCUCACCAAGGCGACGACGGGUAGCCGGCAUGAGAGGGCGACCGGCCACACUGGGACUGAGACACGGCCCAGACUCCUACGGGAGGCAGCAGUGGGGAAUAUUGGGCAAUGGAGGAAACUCUGACCCAGCGACGCCGCGUGCGGGAUGAGGGCCUUCGGGUUGUAAACCGCUUUCAGCAGGGAAGAAGCGAAAGUGACGGUACCUGCAGAAGAAGCACCGGCUAACUAUGUGCCAGCAGCCGCGGUAAUACAUAGGGUGCAAGCGUUGUCCGGAAUUAUUGGGCGUAAAGAGCUCGUAGGUGGUUAGUUACGUCGGAUGUGAAAAUCUAGGGCUCAACCCUAGACCCGCAUCCGAUACGGGCUAGCUUGAGUUUGGUAGGGGAGACUGGAAUUCCUGGUGUAGCGGUGGAAUGCGCAGAUAUCAGGAGGAACACCAAUGGCGAAGGCAGGUCUCUGGGCCAAUACUGACACUGAGGAGCGAAAGUGUGGGGAGCGAACAGGAUUAGAUACCCUGGUAGUCCACACAGUAAACGAUGGGCACUAGUUGUGGGAACCUUCCACGGUUUCUGCGACGCAGCUAACGCAUUAAGUGCCCCGCCUGGGGAGUACGAUCGCAAGAUUAAAACUCAAAGGAAUUGACGGGGCCCCGCACAAGCAGCGGAGCAUGCGGCUUAAUUCGACGCAACGCGAAGAACCUUACCAAGGCUUGACAUAUACAGGAAUAUGGCAGAGAUGUCAUAGCCGCAAGGUCUGUAUACAGGUGGUGCAUGGCCGUCGUCAGCUCGUGUCGUGAGAUGUUGGGUUAAGUCCCGCAACGAGCGCAACCCAA